Molecule: ribosomal RNA, 357 nt
Filed under: uncultured bacterium
Lineage: Bacteria
Description: bacterial SSU rRNA
Rfam family: Bacterial small subunit ribosomal RNA
Source: RNAcentral
GACUGCCGGUGACAAACCGGAGGAAGGUGGGGAUGACGUCAAGUCAUCAUGCCCCUUACAUCCUGGGCUACACACGUACUACAAUGCAACGGACAAAGGGCAGCCAACUAGCGAUAGUGAGCUAAUCCCAUAAACCGUUGCUCAGUUCAGAUUGCAGGCUGCAACUCGCCUGCAUGAAGGCGGAAUCGCUAGUAAUCGCAGGUCAGCAUACUGCGGUGAAUACGUUCCCGGGCCUUGUACACACCGCCCGUCACACCAUGGAAGUUGGCCACGCCCGAAGUCGUUACCCCAACCGUUUACGGAGGGGGACGCCGAAGGCAGGGCUGAUGACUGGGGUGAAGUCGUAACAAGGUAACC